ACCAGGCCUGUACUGGCAGCACAACAGCAAGUGUGUAGACCAGCAGAGAAUGGUGUUCACUCGCAGACACCAGACACAACAGCCAUACUGCGGCUACCAGUGGCAAGGACACCACAUUCAGCCAUAACAGUGUCCUAAACAAACACUGGAAUGUGUGACAGUACCUGAGAUUCCCGUAGCCAGCAACAUGAUCCUUGAGUGUGAAAGCAGCCCGCAGUGAGAAUAUGAGCACAGCCAGGUUGACAAACACGACCAUAGUACCAGGACCGAGAAGACUCCAGAUCACCGACUCGUACAAAGACAGCCAGCAACUGUACCCACAUGACUUGACAUCUGAAAUCUGGAGUGAUGUUCGUCUGAAUGGAUCCAAAAAUAGUCAGUGACAAAGAACGAAGAGCUCAAAAGAAACCCUCUCGCAUCGUUUCGCCAUCUUAAACACCAAGACUACAAAUAGUAGUGCAAUCUAGGUGAAGAGGUAUUCUCAUUGUCUCAAUUAUUGUGCACCUUAAUUGUCAUCAUCUUUUACCUAAUCAGCAUGAUAGAUCUAUAAAAACUACAGCAAGAAUCAUAAUUUCUCUGAUAUAAAUAUAGGCCUGGUAUAAGUCAAACGUAAUUUCACAUUCAGUGUCAGUUUGAACCUAAAUACUCGAAUAUUCAGAUCCAGUUCGAUAAUCAGGAACUAGAAAAUAUUUUUUAUGUAAAAUUAUAUAAUUUAAUUCUCUUUGUUUUCAAUUAAUUUUUCCACAAGCCUAGUUGUCAAAGGUAACACACACAUCAUCCAUAUAUGAUAAUUUAAAAAAAGAUGAAAUGAUUUAUAAAUGAAAUAUUUUUUGAUAAAAACAAGUUAUUUAAAUUUGCAAACUCCAAGCUCAUUGCAGAAAUGAGCUAAUAGACACUGACCUCAU
Molecule: long non-coding RNA, 905 nt
Organism: Homalodisca vitripennis (glassy-winged sharpshooter)
Lineage: Eukaryota; Metazoa; Arthropoda; Insecta; Hemiptera; Cicadellidae
Exons: 3
Source: RefSeq, a predicted model, not a curated record